This 357-nucleotide long non-coding RNA is filed under the name Gallus gallus (chicken). The record is from RNAcentral. Lineage: Eukaryota; Metazoa; Chordata; Aves; Galliformes; Phasianidae.
AGUUUGGGGUCAGAUGCUGAGAUUUGGGGUCAGAUGCUGAGAUUUGGGGCCGAUUGGGCUGAAUUUGGGGUCAGGUGCUGAGAUUUGGGGUCGGUUUGUGAGAGUUUGGGGUCAGGGCUGGAGAUUUAGGGUCAUUUCAUGAGAGUUUGGGGUCAGAUGCUGAGAUUUGGGGCUGAUUGGGCUGAAUUUGGGGUCAGUUCAUGAGAGUUUGGGGUCAGAUGCUGAGAUUUGGGGUCAGAUGCUGAGAUUUGGGGUCAUUUCAUGAGAGUUCGGGGUCAGAUGCUGAGAUUUGGGGUCAUUUCAUGAGAGUUUGGGGUCAGAUCCAGAGAUUUGGGGGUCACUAUGUGAGAGUUUGGG